This 441-nucleotide ribosomal RNA is filed under the name uncultured bacterium. RNAcentral's name for it is "partial 16S ribosomal RNA". It matches the Rfam family "Bacterial small subunit ribosomal RNA", at positions 338 to 795 of the family's 1533-position model. The record is from RNAcentral.
CCUACGGGAGGCAGCAGUGGGGGAUAUUGCACAAUGGGGGAAACCCUGAUGCAGCGACGCCGCGUGUGGGAAGACGGUCCUCUGGAUUGUAAACCACUUUCCCCAGGGACGAAGAUGACGGUACCUGGGGAGGAAGCUCCGGCUAACUACGUGCCAGCAGCCGCGGUAAUACGUAGGGGGCAAGCGUUAUCCGGAUUUACUGGGUGUAAAGGGCGCGUAGACGGCCAGACAAGUCAGAAGUGAAAGCCCAGGGCUCAACCCUGGGACUGCGUUGGAAACUGCCGGGCUGGAGUGCAGGAGAGGUAAGCGGAAUUCCUAGUGUAGCGGUGAAAUGCGUAGAUAUUAGGAGGAACACCAGUGGCGAAGGCGGCUUACUGGACUGUAACUGACGUUGAGGCUCGAAAGCGUGGGGAGCAAACAGGAUUAGAUACCCGGGUAGUC